RNAcentral lists this microRNA precursor (103 nucleotides) under Marmota monax (woodchuck). The record is from RNAcentral. Lineage: Eukaryota; Metazoa; Chordata; Mammalia; Rodentia; Sciuridae.
AGUGGGAUAGCUGGGCCAAAUGGUGGUUCCAUUUCAAGUUUUCUAAGGAAUCUCCAUACUACUUUCCAUAAUGGUUGCAUCAAUUUGCAGACCCACCAGCAAU